GCGUUACAGCUUAUCUUCACGCACCCCCUAAUUUCCCUCACCUCCCCUCAACCCCUAUACACCUACUGAAUUAUUUUAUAUCAAUAUAAAAGUAAUUAUGCUAGAACUAGUAACAAGAAAUUGAUUUUUCUCCUAAAUGUAAGUAUAGACCAUAUGGACAAACCAAUGGUACUUAACGCCCCUGUAACUAAUAUAACAACACCUCUCAAGAAAACCCUAUAAUUAUAUACGUUAACCUUACACUAGAGCAUUUCAGGAAAGAUUAAAAAAGAGAGAAGGAACUCGGCAAACCUUAGCCCCGCCUGUUUACCAAAAACAUCGCCUCUUGGCCCAGUAUAAGAGGUCCAGCCUGCCCGGUGACUUAGUUUAACGGCCACGGUACCCUGACCGUGCGAAGGUAGCAUAAUCACUUGUUCUUUAAAUAGGGACUUGUAUCAAUGGCAUCACGAGGGCUGCACUGUCUCCUCUCUUCAAUCAGUGAAACUGAUCCCCCCGUGAAGAAGCGUGGAUUAAAUUAUAAGACGAGAAGACCCCAUGGAGCUUUAAACAAUGUGCUCACACCAUUAAUAUACCAACUCACUAGAAGCCCUGAGCACAAGUUUUAGGUUGGGGAGACCGCGGAGCACAAACUAACCUCCACGACAAAUGGCUUAUGCCUUAUCCAAGAGCCACAGCUCCAAGAAUCAAUAUAUUGAUGUAUAUGAUCCGAUAUUCGAUUAACGAAUCAAGUUACCCUGGGGAUAACAGCGCAAUCUACUUUGAGAGUCCUUAUCGACAAGUGGGCUUACGACCUCGAUGUUGGAUCAGGGUAUCCUUGUGGUGCAGCAGCUAC
Molecule: ribosomal RNA, 832 nt
Filed under: Amnirana lepus (Andersson's Cameroon frog)
Lineage: Eukaryota; Metazoa; Chordata; Amphibia; Anura; Ranidae
Description: partial 16S ribosomal RNA
Rfam family: Bacterial large subunit ribosomal RNA
Source: RNAcentral